AUGGGGUGGGCUACACACGUGCUACAAUGGCGACUACAAUAGGUUGCAACGUCGCAAGGCUGAGCUAAUGCGUAAAAGUCGUCUCAGUUCGGAUUGUCCUCUGUAACUCGAGGGCAUGAAGUCGGAAUCGCUAGUAAUCGUGGAUCAGCAUGCCACGGUGAAUACGUUCUCGGGUCUUGUACACACUGCCCGUCACGCCAUGGGAAUUGGCUUAACUCGAAGCUGGUGCGCCAACCGUAAGGAGGCAGCCAUUUAAGGUUGGGUCGGUGACUGGGGUGAAGUCGUAACAAGGUAGCUGUAGGUGAACCUGCGGCUGGAUCA
This 321-nucleotide ribosomal RNA is filed under the name Anaplasma marginale. RNAcentral describes it as "bacterial SSU rRNA". It matches the Rfam family "Bacterial small subunit ribosomal RNA", at positions 1204 to 1525 of the family's 1533-position model. The record is from RNAcentral. Lineage: Bacteria; Pseudomonadati; Pseudomonadota; Alphaproteobacteria; Rickettsiales; Anaplasmataceae.